AAAUCGUACCCCAAACCGACACAGGUGGUCAGGUAGAGAAUACCAAGGCGCUUGAGAGAACUCGGGUGAAGGAACUAGGCAAAAUGGUGCCGUAACUUCGGGAGAAGGCACGCUGGUGUGUAGGUGAAGUCCCUGCGGAUGGAGCUGAGACCAGUCGAAGAUACCAGCUGGCUGCAACUGUUUAUUAAAAACACAGCACUGUGCAAACACGAAAGUGGACGUAUACGGUGUGACGCCUGCCCGGUGCCGGAAGGUUAAUUGAUGGGGUUAUCCGUAAGGAGAAGCUCUUGAUCGAAGCCCCGGUAAACGGCGGCCGUAACUAUAACGGUCCUAAGGUAGCGAAAUUCCUUGUCGGGUAAGUUCCGACCUGCACGAAUGGCGUAAUGAUGGCCAGGCUGUCUCCACCCGAGACUCAGUGAAAUUGAACUCGCUGUGAAGAUGCAGUGUACCCGCGGCAAGACGGAAAGACCCCGUGAACCUUUACUAUAGCUUGACACUGAACAUUGAGCCUUGAUGUGUAGGAUAGGUGGGAGGCUUUGAAGCGUGGACGCCAGUCUGCGUGGAGCCAACCUUGAAAUACCACCCUUUAAUGUUUGAUGUUCUAACGUUGGCCCCUUACCGGGGUUGCGGACAGUGUCUGGUGGGUAGUUUGACUGGGGCGGUCUCCUCCCAAAGCGUAACGGAGGAGCACGAAGGUUAGCUAAUCCUGGUCGGACAUCAGGAGGUUAGUGCAAUGGCAUAAGCUAGCUUGACUGCGAGCGUGACGGCGCGAGCAGGUGCGAAAGCAGGUCAUAGUGAUCCGGUGGUUCUGAAUGGAAGGGCCAUCGCUCAACGGAUAAAAGGUACUCCGGGGAUAACAGGCUGAUACCGCCCAAGAGUUCAUAUCGACGGCGGUGUUUGGCACCUCGAUGUCGGCUCAUCACAUCCUGGGGCUGAAGUAGGUCCCAAGGGUAUGGCUGUUCGCCAUUUAAAGUGGUACGCGAGCUGGGUUUAGAACGUCGUGAGACAGUUCGGUCCCUAUCUGCCGUGGGCGCUGGAGAAUUGAGGGGGGCUGCUCCUAGUACGAGAGGACCGGAGUGGACGCAUCACUGGUGUUCGGGUUGUCAUGCCAAUGGCACUGCCCGGUAGCUAAAUGCGGAAGAGAUAAGUGCUGAAAGCAUCUAAGCACGAAACUUGCCCCGAGAUGAGUUCUCCCUGAGACUUUAAGUCUCCUGAAGGAACGUUGAAGACGACGACGUUGAUAGGCCGGGUGUGUAAGCGCAGCGAUGCGUUGAGCUAACCGGUACUAAUGAACCGUGAGGCUUAACCUU
RNAcentral lists this ribosomal RNA (1310 nucleotides) under Klebsiella pneumoniae. RNAcentral's name for it is "partial 23S ribosomal RNA". It matches the Rfam family "Bacterial large subunit ribosomal RNA", at positions 1639 to 2925 of the family's 2925-position model. The record is from RNAcentral. Lineage: Bacteria; Pseudomonadati; Pseudomonadota; Gammaproteobacteria; Enterobacterales; Enterobacteriaceae. RNAcentral also lists the same sequence under 4 other names.